AUUGAACGCUGGCGGCAUGCCUUACACAUGCAAGUCGAACGGCAGCACGGGUGCUUGCACCUGGUGGCGAGUGGCGAACGGGUGAGUAAUACAUCGGAACGUACCUUAUCGUGGGGGAUAACGCAGCGAAAGCUGUGCUAAUACCGCAUACGCCCUGAGGGGGAAAGCGGGGGAUCGAAAGACCUCGCGCGAUUAGAGCGGCCGAUGCCUGAUUAGCUUGUUGGUGGGGUAAAAGCCCACCAAGGCGACGAUCAGUAGCUGGUCUGAGAGGACGAGCAGCCACAGUGGGACUGAGACACGGCCCAGACACCAACGGGAGGCAGCAGUGGGGAGUUUUGGACAAUGGGGGCAACCCUGAUCCAGCAAUGCCGCGUGAGUGAAGAAGGCCUUGGAGUUGUAAAGCUCUUUUGUCAGGGAAGAAACACCGGCUCUAACACAGUCCGGGAAUGACGGUACCUGAAGAAUAAGCACCGGCUAACUACGUGCCAGCAGCCGCCGUAA
Molecule: ribosomal RNA, 501 nt
Filed under: uncultured bacterium
Lineage: Bacteria
Description: partial 16S ribosomal RNA
Rfam family: Bacterial small subunit ribosomal RNA
Source: RNAcentral